This 492-nucleotide ribosomal RNA is filed under the name uncultured bacterium. RNAcentral's name for it is "partial 16S ribosomal RNA". It matches the Rfam family "Bacterial small subunit ribosomal RNA", at positions 29 to 507 of the family's 1533-position model. The record is from RNAcentral.
AGUGAACGCUGGCGGUAGGCCUAACACAUGCAAGUCGAACGGCAGCACAGUAAGAGCUUGCUCUUACGGGUGGCGAGUGGCGGACGGGUGAGGAAUACAUCGGAAUCUACUUUUUCGUGGGGGAUAACGUAGGGAAACUUACGCUAAUACCGCAUACGACCUACGGGUGAAAGCAUGGGAUCUUCGGACCUUGCGCGAUUGAAUGAGCCGAUGUCGGAUUAGCUAGUUGGCGGGGUAAAGGCCCACCAAGGCGACGAUCCGUAGCUGGUCUGAGAGGAUGAUCCGCCACACUGGAACUGAGACACGGUCCAGACUCCUACGGGAGGCAGCAGUGGGGAAUAUUGGACAAUGGGCGCAAGCCUGAUCCAGCCAUACCGCGUGGGUGAAGAAGGCCUUCGGGUUGUAAAGCCCUUUUGUUGGGAAAGAAAAGCAGCAGGUUAAUACCCCGCUGUUCUGACGGUACCCAAAGAAUAAGCACCGGCUAACUUCGUG